RNAcentral lists this ribosomal RNA (735 nucleotides) under Staphylococcus pseudintermedius. RNAcentral describes it as "partial 23S ribosomal RNA". It matches the Rfam family "Bacterial large subunit ribosomal RNA", at positions 407 to 1143 of the family's 2925-position model. The record is from RNAcentral. Lineage: Bacteria; Bacillati; Bacillota; Bacilli; Caryophanales; Staphylococcaceae.
CCUGAGUACGACGGAGCACGUGAAAUUCCGUCGGAAUCUGGGAGGACCAUCUCCUAAGGCUAAAUACUCUCUAGUGACCGAUAGUGAACCAGUACCGUGAGGGAAAGGUGAAAAGUACCCCGGAAGGGGAGUGAAAGAGAACUUGAAACCGUGUGCUUACAAGUAGUCAGAGCCCGUUAAUGGGUGAUGGCGUGCCUUUUGUAGAAUGAACCGGCGAGUUACGAUCUGAUGCAAGGUUAAGCAGAAAAUGUGGAGCCGUAGCGAAAGCGAGUCUGAAUAGGGCGAAUGAGUAUUUGGUCGUAGACCCGAAACCAGGUGAUCUACCCUUGGUCAGGUUGAAGUUCAGGUAACACUGAAUGGAGGACCGAACCGACUUACGUUGAAAAGUGAGCGGAUGAACUGAGGGUAGCGGAGAAAUUCCAAUCGAACUUGGAGAUAGCUGGUUCUCUCCGAAAUAGCUUUAGGGCUAGCCUCAAGUGAUGAUUAUUGGAGGUAGAGCACUGUUUGGACGAGGGGCCCCUCUCGGGUUACCGAAUUCAGACAAACUCCGAAUGCCAAAUAAUUUAACUUGGGAGUCAGAAUGUGGGUGAUAAGGUCCAUAUUCGAAAGGGAAACAGCCCAGACCACCAGCUAAGGUCCCAAAAUAUAUGUUAAGUGGAAAAGGAUGUGGCGUUGCCCAGACAACUAGGAUGUUGGCUUAGAAGCAGCCAUCAUUUAAAGAGUGCGUAAUAGCUC